AACGAUCGUUAAUACCGCAUAACAUAAUUGAACCGCAUGAUUUGAUUAUCAAAGAUUUAUCGCUGAAAGAUGAGCUCGCGUCUGAUUAGCUAGUUGGUAAGGUAACGGCUUACCAAGGCGACGAUCAGUAGCCGGACUGAGAGGUUGAUCGGCCACAUUGGGACUGAGACACGGCCCAGACUCCUACGGGAGGCAGCAGUGGGGAAUAUUGCACAAUGGAGGAAACUCUGAUGCAGCGAUGCCGCGUGAGGGAAGAAGGUUUUAGGAUUGUAAACCUCUGUCUUCAGGGACGAAAAAAGACGGUAUCUGAGGAGGAAGCUCCGGCUAACUACGUGCCAGCAGCCGCGGUAAUACGUAGGGAGCGAGCGUUGUCCGGAAUUACUGGGUGUAAAGGGAGCGUAGGCGGGACCGCAAGUCAGAUGUGAAAACUAUGGGCUUAACCCAUAAACUGCAUUUGAAACUGUGGUUCUUGAGUGAAGUAGAGGUAAGCGGAAUUCCUAGUGUAGCGGUGAAAUGCGUAGAUAUUAGGAGGAACAUCAGUGGCGAAGGCGGCUUACUGGGCUUUAACUGACGCUGAGGCUCGAAAGCGU
Molecule: ribosomal RNA, 590 nt
Filed under: uncultured bacterium
Lineage: Bacteria
Description: bacterial SSU rRNA
Rfam family: Bacterial small subunit ribosomal RNA
Source: RNAcentral